UCUAAAUUCUCGUUUCUCACUUUUUUUUUCAGAUACGUUCUCUCUCUCUCUCUUUCAACUCAAUCUCUCUCUUCUUCUUCUCAAGGUCGACGGCCUCUUCUUCUCCGGCCACCUUCUCCGGUCGGCGUCAACUGCCGACGUGCCUAGGUCCGUCGUGGCCGCACCUACCUCUCAGAAUCAGUCGAGAGCUCCUUCUCUCUCUAAAUCAGUCAAGGUCUCUCCCUCGAUUCAGUCGACAUCCGACGCCGCCGCUUCCUUCUCCGGC
Molecule: long non-coding RNA, 265 nt
Filed under: Salvia miltiorrhiza (redroot sage)
Lineage: Eukaryota; Viridiplantae; Streptophyta; Magnoliopsida; Lamiales; Lamiaceae
Description: long non-coding RNA (SMIL_LNC011946)
Source: RNAcentral